AGUUUGAUCCUGGCUCAGGAUGAACGCUGGCGGUCUGCUUAACACAUGCAAGUCGAACGGAUGUCUUCGGACAUUAGUGGCGGACGGGUGAGUAACGCGUGAGGAUCUGCCCUCAGGAUGGGGACAACAGUUGGAAACGACUGCUAAUACCCGAUGUGCCGGAAGGUGAAACUAUUUGGCCUGAGGAUGAGCUCGCGUCUGAUUAGCUAGUUGGAGUGGUAACGGCACACCAAGGCGACGAUCAGUAGCUGGUCUGAGAGGAUGAUCAGCCACACUGGGACUGAGACACGGCCCAGACUCCUACGGGAGGCAGCAGUGGGGAAUUUUCCGCAAUGGGCGAAAGCCUGACGGAGCAAGACCGCGUGGGGGACGAAGGUUUGUGGAUUGUAAACCCCUUUUGAUUGGGAAGAAGUUCUGACGGUACCAAUCGAAUCAGCAUCGGCUAACUCCGUGCCAGCAGCCGCGGUAAUACGGAGGAUGCAAGCGUUAUCCGGAAUUAUUGGGCGUAAAGCGUCCGUAGGUGGUUGGUCAAGUCAGUUGUUAAAGCGUGGGGCUUAACCCCAUAAAGGCAAAUGAAACUGACUAGCUAGAGUGCGAUAGGGGCAAGGGGAAUUUCCAGUGUAGCGGUGAAAUGCGUAGAUAUUGGAAAGAACACCGGUGGCGAAAGCGCCUUGCUGGGUCUGCACUGACACUGAGGGACGAAAGCUAGGGGAGCGAAAGGGAUUAGAUACCC
Molecule: ribosomal RNA, 733 nt
Filed under: cyanobacterium enrichment culture clone D_RT_D.3.4_G12-T7
Lineage: Bacteria; Bacillati; Cyanobacteriota
Description: bacterial SSU rRNA
Rfam family: Bacterial small subunit ribosomal RNA
Source: RNAcentral